Non-coding RNA from Manis javanica (Malayan pangolin), 2791 nucleotides. Lineage: Eukaryota; Metazoa; Chordata; Mammalia; Pholidota; Manidae. The record is from RefSeq and is a predicted model, not a curated record.
ACUGGCAGGGGGCAGGCAGCGGGCCCCACGAAGGCAGCAGGGUAGGGGGAAGCAAGGGACCCAGUAUUUCUGCUGUUUUCAGAAAUAACUACAGGGGCUCUGGCCUGACAAGUGUAACUCUACUAAUGAAGGCAAAGGACUGAAAUAUUUGAAAAAAGUAGUCCCUAUGAAACCUAGCUUUCAUUUAAUCCUCACAAAAGUGAUCUAAGGGAUUGCUACUAUGCCCUUUUUACAGAUGUUGGAUACAGAGAGGUUGAGCACCCUGUCCACGCUUGCACAGCUGACAUGUGGCAGGGGAGUAUUGGAAACGACCUUUGUGCCGCCUGCGCCACCAGCCAUGGCUCUUAAUUUCCACUUGCAAGAUAUGCCAAUAAUAUGGACACAUUCCUAUUUACAUCUAAGGGAGACUUGAGAAACUCUGCUUCAGUCCUCACAGACAGCCUCUCAUCAUAUCCUUGUGGAGGUUGCUGCCUACUGGGAAGAAUCAGGUUGUCUGAGGUCUACAUGACUCUCCUGAAUUAACAGGAGGCAGGUUGUUACUACAGAUGUGUGUAUGUUUGCAGGUGCCAUUAUUCUAACCCAAAUUCCAUAUCCAAAAUGGUUACUUUAAUCCAGAAGUAAUUUUAUCAGGUAAUAUAGUAACAAGCUUAACAGGCAGGAGCAAAUGAAGGUAGGUACUUAACCCCCGUGGUAAGGAAUAGUGGUUGUAAGUGGGUCAUAGAUCAGACUUUGCUUUUAAUCUUUUUUCUGUUUUAAAAUUCUUCCUCUUCAUAUGUCUGGGAGAAAGAGAAAAAAGGAGAACUGGUUGAUUCUUGCUGUACAGCCUUUAAAAAACAUGGAAGUUGUGAAAGCUAUUGCAUUGUUUUCUAAGGACUCAAGUUACUAGAAAAUUUGAGUAAGUCUGAUUUCUGGAGCACUUAGUGUUUGUUUUCCAUUGAACAGAUGAGAAGCAGAGAGGGUUGAAAGAACUGUGUCAAAUGUCAAAUGAUCCUAUUGUUAGGGUUUUGGGUUGAAAUGGAAGGACUGGAUAUUCAGCAGGCACAUCUCCUGAGCUAGGCACUAGUUCCUUUUUUUUUCCCCUUUGGUUCUGAGGCUUAGAAAAAAAUAAUCUAGAAAAGGAAGAGCCAGACAGGAUGGAUCAUUCAAAUAAAGAAAGACCUCAUCCUACAACUUAAUUUGGUUUCAACAGGACCUCAGUGAAACCACAGAAAACUUACAUACCUGAGAUUUCUCAAGCCUGGGCCUGUUGGUCCCUAAUUCUACGGAACCUGGAGAAAUCCUAAAGUUCUAAUAUUAUUUUGGAUUACUUACUGAAAUUGGAAUUACUGGGUUAAAUGAGAUGAGUUUCCUAAAGCCUUGCCUCACUGUUUUCCAGAAUGGUUAUGCCCAGCUCUAUUCCUGUCCACAGCGUAUGGUUCUCACCUACCACCCUUCCUGUGUGUGCACUGGACUUAGUGACUCUCUUCCAAAGAAUAAAUAAAGGAAAGGGAGAAACAAUAAAUCUAGAGUGGUGAGCCUUGGUAAAUGCUACCCUAACCAAGGAUGAAGGCUAUUGUUCCCUGUGACGUCAGGAGCCUAUAAAGCAAAAAAACAAACAAAAAUUCUCUGAGAAGAGCAUCUUUUGCUUUCAGAAGCAGCGUUUGCAAUGGGCAGUAGCCUCCUCAUCACAUGGUGAUGAUGAUGACAGGAAUUGUUUCUCUCUGAAGACUUACAGGAAGGGAUCCCCUGGGUAAUGGUGGAUGAUUUAGGAAUACCGGAAGGGGAAGAGGGGAGUGGGAGAAAAGAAAUAAAAAGCUGGAUGCAGCAAGCUGCCGCUUUUGGAUCCCAGUAAACCAUUUUAAUAGAAACCGGCAGGAAGCAAUGAAGAGCCCAACUGGAAAAGGCUGAGAAACAAGCCCUAUAUCCUCAGGACAGCAAAAUGUCUCAGACAAUCCGGUGGAAGAGUCAUUACGAAGAAACAGGAUGUGCUGCCCCUUCUGGGUUUUCCUGACGGCCUUCGCUUGGCGGGAGAACGCAGGCUCCACCCAGCUCGCAGUGCUCCAGGAACAUCGCUGGCUGCUUUGGGACUGCAUGUUGACUGGCUCUGAGUCCCUUAUAUCCCUGCCCGCAUCCCCAAGAAUACAUGUGUUCCCCAUUCCUUAAGAGAAUUCCAUCGUCAUCUCCAAGGAAAACGCAGAUGUCCCAGGUGGCCAGACGCAGAGGGGCAAAUGGAGCCGUAUUGUGUUAAUUUGUUAACUGGAAGGUGUACCCUCUUCCCACUGCAGAGCGCGACGCGCGGUACUCCUUGCAGCAGAGCCCUCUGGAAGGGCAGUGCUUGCUGUUGAAAAAUACAUAGUAAUUCUAUUUUGAACAUUCUUUACAAACCCUAAUAAAUGUGCUUUCAAAAUUGUAACUCAGAAGUUAACUGGGAAGGCAAGACACACAUGGAAGGGAAAGGAAUCAAAUGAAGUCCAACUGGUAAAGAAGGAAAGUGAAACCUGGAGCUGCCCCUGCACAGCUGUAUGGGUUGGGUGGUUUCGGGAGAAAUGCUCUUCCUUUCCUGGAGUGUCUGACAGUGUCUCUUAAGCCAACCAAAGUGACGGCAGGACUCCAGGGGCAGCCCCAAAACUACCAUGGCUGGUUGUGCUCUCAGCUUUCCUUCCCUUCUCCCCAACCUGGAAUGAGCUUUUGCUCAUUUUUGGCUCUUCUUUAAAUUUUACCUCCUCUUCAAGGUCAGCUCAAAUUCUACCUCUGCUUUAAGAACCCCCACUCUCAGUGCUUUCUUUCCUUUUUUAAGCUUUUACCCCUAAUG